RNAcentral lists this ribosomal RNA (209 nucleotides) under uncultured bacterium. RNAcentral's name for it is "partial 16S ribosomal RNA". It matches the Rfam family "Bacterial small subunit ribosomal RNA", at positions 524 to 728 of the family's 1533-position model. The record is from RNAcentral.
UACGAAGGGUGCAAGCGUUUACUCGGAAUCACUGGGCGUAAAGCGUGCGUAGGCGGUUCGUUAAGUCUGCUGUGAAAGCCCUGGGCUCAACCUGGGGAACUGCAGUGGGAUACUGGCGGACUAGAGUGUGAUAGAGGAUGGUGGAAUUUCCCGGUGUAGCGGUGAAAUGCGUAGAGAUCGGGAGGAACACCAGUGGCGAAGGCGGCCAU